UACGGGGGGAGCAAGCGUUGUUCGGAUUUACUGGGCGUAAAGGGCGCGUAGGCGGCCACCGCAAGUCGACUGUGAAAUCUCCGGGCUUAACCCGGAAAGGUCAGCCGAUACUGCGGGGCUAGAGUGCAGAAGGGGCAACUGGAAUUCUCGGUGUAGCGGUGAGAUGCGUAGAUAUCGAGAGGAACACCUGCGGCGAAGGCGGGUUGCUGGGCUGACACUGACGCUGAGGCGCGAAAGCUAGGGGAGCGAACGGG
Molecule: ribosomal RNA, 254 nt
Filed under: uncultured bacterium
Lineage: Bacteria
Description: partial 16S ribosomal RNA
Rfam family: Bacterial small subunit ribosomal RNA
Source: RNAcentral